This 448-nucleotide ribosomal RNA is filed under the name uncultured bacterium. Its description in RNAcentral is "bacterial SSU rRNA". It matches the Rfam family "Bacterial small subunit ribosomal RNA", at positions 64 to 507 of the family's 1533-position model. The record is from RNAcentral.
GAGCGGAUGACGGGAGCUUGCUCCUUGAUUCAGCGGCGGACGGGUGAGUAAUGCCUAGGAAUCUGCCUGGUAGUGGGGGACAACGUUUCGAAAGGAACGCUAAUACCGCAUACGUCCUACGGGAGAAAGCAGGGGACCUUUGGGCCUUGCGCUAUCAGAUGAGCCUAGGUCGGAUUAGCUAGUUGGUGGGGUAAUGGCUCACCAAGGCGACGAUCCGUAACUGGUCUGAGAGGAUGAUCAGUCACACUGGAACUGAGACACGGUCCAGACUCCUACGGGAGGCAGCAGUGGGGAAUAUUGGACAAUGGGCGAAAGCCUGAUCCAGCCAUGCCGCGUGUGUGAAGAAGGUCUACGGAUUGUAAAGCACUUUAAGUUGGGAGGAAGGGCAGUAAGUUAAUACCUUGCUGUUUUGACGUUACCGACAGAAUAAGCACCGGCUAACUCUGUG